This 1772-nucleotide long non-coding RNA is filed under the name Homo sapiens (human). Its description in RNAcentral is "non-protein coding lnc-ZSCAN10-4:2". The stretch from base 1266 to 1338 matches the Rfam family "tRNA". Lineage: Eukaryota; Metazoa; Chordata; Mammalia; Primates; Hominidae. The record is from RNAcentral.
GGUUUCGAUCACAGGAAGCUGGUAGGAGGUGCAGCGCCUCGGGGACCAGCCCCGGGAAGAGCUCCUGUACGACCCCCGCCCUCAGGCGCACAGAGGCGGACCCCGCACCCUGGGCACCGCGGCGCCGCCUCCCCGAGGGCCACUCGGCUCCCAGCGGCUCCAGGCGGCCCCAGCACCGAGAGGAGGGCCGGUGACCAGGGGCUGCGGCCCGCGGGGAGGUGGUCUGUGUGGCCCGCGUGAGGCAGCGGUCUCGCGUGCUGAGCCCCAGCCCAGAAAUUUCACCCGAUGUGAAACCCGAGUGCAGGACCCUGAGGAGGAGACCCCGCCGCCUCCCAGCAGGCCAGCCCGGGCAUCCUAGGAAGGGAUCCCGUCUCCCACACAGACCCCGGGCUCCUGUCCUCAGCCGAGCUCCUUCUUGGCCUGAGCUCUGCCCAGGCGACCCUCGCAGCCCUGGGACCUCCGAUACACGGGCCGGAGCUGGGGUCAGAGUUCAUUUCUUCCCAAACGGGCGGCUCCAGAAACGCUCCAAACUUUUCUUCCGUUUUCCACUGGCAAGGGACCCAGCAUUUUACUGGGAGCCUAAGGAGGAGAAAGGUCUACCGGGCUUGUCCCUGUGGUGAGGCCUCGCUGCCGGCCCUAAACAGGGAUGAGGGUUUGAAAACCCUCACACAGCCCUAAGAGAGAGUCACGCCGAGUUUCCCCCUGGCCAUCUCCAGUGUCCUUCGUCCCUUCAGCUCUUGUCCCCGACGUUCCCGCUCCCGGGAGCUGCAGGUGCCGCACACACCCAUGAGGGACGGCAGACAGGGGACACACACCGCAAGGGACGGCAGACAGGAAACACACACCCUCGAGGGACAGCAGAGAGGACACACACCCGCGAGGGACGGCGGACAGGACACACACCCGCGAGGGACGGCAGACAGGACACACCCCCACGAGGGUCGGCAGACAGGACACACCCCCACAAGGGACCGCAGACGGGACACACGCCCGCGAGGGACGGCAGACGGGACACACGCCCACGAGGGUCGGCAGACAGGAUACACCCCCACGAGGGUCGGCGGAUAUGACACACACCCGCGAAGGACGGCAGACCGCACGGGCCUGGCGGCGUCCUCGGUCCGCGCCGAGCUUAGGGCUCUAGCGCUCAGGAUGUAGCAUGUCUCAUGUCUCGGAUCCAGGACUCAUCCCCACCAAUUUUAUAUAGAAUAGGGAAGUUCGGGAGAGCUCCAACAGAGGUGUGGGAAACCAUUUUCCUCAUAGCCGCCCGGCUAGCUCAGUCGGUAGAGCAUGAGACCCUUAAUCUCAGGGUCGUGGGUUCGAGCCCCACGUUGGGCGUGAGAUUUUGUCGGAUGGAUUAGACUUGCAACUUGGAAGAAAGUAAACUAAAUAAGAAAACGUGGAAGUGACUCCGUAUACCUUGCAAAUCGGGAAUUGUUGGUCAGGCAAACGCAAAACGCUCCACCAACCAACUGGCUUCAGGAUCCCCUUUGUCUUGUUUCAUAAAAAAAAGAGGCCGAGCGUCGUGGUUCAUGCCUAUAAUCCUCUCACUUUGACCCUAGGAGUUUGAGACCAGCCUAGGCAACAUGGUGAGACCCCCGGCCCUUAAAAAAAAUACAAAUUUUCGCCAGGCUUGGUGGUGUGCGCCUGUAGUCCCAGCUAUUCCAGAGACUGAGGCAGGAGAAUCACUUGAACCCGGGAGGUAGAGGUUACAGUAAGCCGAGACUGUGCCAGUGCACUCCAGCCUGGACAACACAGUAAGACUCCGUCUC